Aegilops tauschii subsp. strangulata is the source of this 2447-nucleotide non-coding RNA. The record is from RefSeq and is a predicted model, not a curated record. NCBI's taxonomy places the organism in Eukaryota, Viridiplantae, Streptophyta, Magnoliopsida, Poales, Poaceae.
CAUGUCACCGUCGAUCCAGAUCGGACGUAGGUCGUCUUCGCGGUGCGGGUGGGGAUGCAGGGGAGGUGUAGGAUGCGGACGAAAAGGGAAGGAGGAGGCCGGCGAGGAAGGCAAGCAACAGCGGGGAAGGAGAAGGUGAGCGAUCCUAGCAUGGGGAAGGGGCCGGGUGAGGCCUCGCGCACCUGCCGGCGGCCGGCAGGUCGACUUGUUGCGCCACCGCGUCGUCACCUCCUCUGCACCAUGAGAGGCGCCACCUCUGCCUCCACACCCCCCCACUGGGCAAGGAGCUCGAGGUGAACAGGCGGUGUGGGAAGGCGAGAGGAACCAGGAGCUCAUCCCUCCUCCCAUGGCUGCCCCGUGGAUCUGGAGGUGCCUGUUGCAGGCGGCUCGAGCGAUGCAAGCCGGCGGCGAACUAGGUCCAUGGACAUUGUCAUAAUGGUCACCUUAUCGCAGUGUAUUAUUUUUGGAUCUCAUAUUCCUCAAGGCGCUCCAUCCUCUGAUUCGAUGUCUGACGAUCUGAGAAAUAAGAGGAGGAAUAAUCCAGCAGAAGAAUUUGGUGAAGAAGAACAAGAAAAGAAUACCUUUAUCCUGAUAGGCAUGGAAACACCGGUUCGCAUUGAGUGCAUCAUCGCUAUAAUCAGCUACUAUGUAUGGUCAGCGGACAUGCUUGCUUAUUCCUGUAACAUAUCAUUACUCUAUCUGCUUAGCCUUUCUAACUUUUAAGAUUUGAUCAAUUCUUUAGAAGUUCGUACAGAUCUAGAAGUAUUUGGUUUUGUUGGUCAAAUCCAUUACCUGUAUGUCCUUAUUUAUUUUAUUGUUCGAACAAGAUAUCAGAUCACCUACAUUCAUUAUUCUUGAUUACAGUCUCAUACUAAAGUAGUCUAAAAUGGUCUGAAUAGUUGUAGUAAUUCAUAAAUAUUUUCAGUGUAGUUCUUAUUUGGUUUCUAGGCAUAGAAUUUACUUCAAAAUUUUUUGAUCUUUAUUUGGUUAGUAAGGCUCUAGAAUAAAACAGACCAAUGAUAUAUAUACAAACAGACACAAUAGGAGUUAACUGGUACCUAGCUUUUGAAACCUCUGAUAUAUACAAAAUAUUAUUUGAGUAGAACAGGAGAGAUGCAAUCUUAUGGAUAUUUCCGCAUUUGUAAGAAACUUUCCAGCUUGUUACUACCGAGAACUCCAGGUUCUGUGAAUUUUUAAGUCCUAGGCGAGCACUCCAGGUUCUGUGAAUUUUUCCUUCACAUUACUGCAGUAUUUCCAUACUUCAAGGAAAUAUAAAUGAUAUGGUUUCUCUCUCCCAGAUUUUUACUACCGAGAAUGGAAUUCAAGAAGAUAUACUUUUGGCGUUGUCUUAUUACCUCUCGUAUCUGAUAGAUAACACAAAGUUAUCAGUUUAGUUGGAAAAAGAAAAAGUCCAGAUCAAUUGUGAGGAUAUGAUCAUUGGCAUACUUACCCCCUGAUGAUGCCUCAUUUCUUCAGAAUUUGAGGCUGUUCUUGAUAUGCCAGAAGUAUGAGUGGGUUGACUUUUCUUGACGUGUAUUUUAUACAACGAGCAACUACCUUGCGCCGUCUUCCAGCCACCAACAACCCCAUGACCCUGCAUCAGGACAAAUUUGAUUUUGGGAAGACAAAGGUCUGACAAGGAUGAGAAUGGGAUACCAGAUUACAACGAUGGAGGCUCGGACAUGGAUCUGCUCAUGCUCUCAGCGGGAAUACUGAAUGUUCUCGAAGCUUUGCCAUACACACGUGCAACUUUUGGCACUUGUGUGGGCUCCAGUUUGUGUCAAUGCAAUUUGCAUCUGUCAGCGGAUUAUGGCGAGCUUGGUUAUUGGCCUACAGGGUGCUCCACCGAUGGUGAAAAUACCUCACAGGAUGAUGUUGGAUAUUAUUCUACAAACUUUGGGCCUACCGGUGGCUGAGUAUCGAAGCAAGAUGUGACAGUGGCAUGAUGUGGAUGACUAUAAUUUCCAUACACCAACAUUAUCUUUUGGAGAUAAAAUAGCCGUAUGGCUAUUACAUGAGACCAUGUCAGAAGACCCUGCUGCUAUGGAAGCAAAAUGAUUCAUGAAAUCUGUGGUGAAAACAGAGAUAAGAUACUACAAUUACAGCAGCAUUGAGAAACCGAGGACACGAAAUGAGUCUGAAAAAUGCUAUGGGCUAAUUUGUUCUAGCUAGGCGAUGUGUGGUAGAAGAUGUACUCACAGGAAGACUAUCGUGCUGUGUAUAAACCACGUUCUACGAUUCACUUCUGUUAUGCAUAUUUACUUUCCAGUUUUAGGACUGAAAUCCAUCCAUUGUAAUGAAUUUGGUUGUAUGGGCAUUACCUAUUUGACUUAGGCUUGCUUCAUCACAUAUAGACUGCUUUUCUUUUCCCCACUACUUGUAUGACCUAAAACUAUCAUGUAUAUGAGGCAAGUUAUUAUCAAUGUUUCACAUUUUCUUACUUGCAA